This 2659-nucleotide long non-coding RNA is filed under the name Eucalyptus grandis. Its description in RNAcentral is "long non-coding RNA (EGRA_LNC006262)". The record is from RNAcentral. Lineage: Eukaryota; Viridiplantae; Streptophyta; Magnoliopsida; Myrtales; Myrtaceae.
UCGGAAGUAAGAGAGGGAAGAGAGACCGAGAGAAAUUGAGAGUGAGAGAAACCGAGAGAGAGGAAGGAGGAGGCCGCACGAGGAAGAAGGAGGGAGUUUGUCCGCCGUUCGUUGCCGUUUUGCCUCUGUUUGCUGCUGUUUUGUGCUUGAAUCUAAGGCAAGUAGAGUCCUAAAACCUACCCUUUGCUUGCUGUGAAGUGUGUGUGUGGAAGAUGAUAAAUCGUGGUUGUGGUAAGUGGUGCAAUUUCGGAGCUUUGGGGAGAGGUUUGUUGGUCUUGAAUGCUGUUUCUGGAAAAUCAGCUUGACUGUUCACGAGUUUGGGGGUUGCAUGCGACUUUUUUAUUUGGAAUUUCACUUCGACCUCUUCAUGAACAUUGUAGAGAAUAUCUUGAAGUAUAAUAUACUAAAAUUUCAGACAAAAUGGACAAGUAUUAAGGGGUGAAAUCCUUUUUCUACGAAAAUGUUAGAUCUGGAAACUGUUUUGUUGACCUCUUGGUGAUUUCGUGUGUUGCAUGUCACCUUUUACUUAAACUCUCACUUCAACCUCUUCAUGAGAGUUGUAGAGAACAUCUUGAAUAUUAACAUACCUAAAUUUGAGAUAAAACGAAUAAUGUUUGCUUGGCGAAACGAUUUUUCCUUUGAAGACGUUAGAUCUGGAAAUGUUGUACUGAGCUUCACUGAUUUCGUGGACUAUAAAGUGAUUUUCUUUUGAAAAUAUCACAUUGAUCUCUUAAUGAAAGUUGUAGUAGACUUCUUGAGGUAAAGCAUAUAAAAAAUUCAGAGGAAAAGAAGAAAGAUAAGUCGGUGAAAUUGUUUUUCUUUGAGAAAACCAGAUCUGGAAAAUAUUACUUCGACCCAGUAAGACUCCGUGAUUUGUAUAACAUCAUGUGGUCAAAAUUUGAUCAUAUGUUGUUAAUGAAAGUUGUAUUUAAUAUUUUGAGGAAUAACAUACUGAAAAAUUUGAAUAAAUGAACAUAUAUAAGUCGAAGAAUCGAGUUUCUUUGAAUGAUGAUAGUCUGGAAAGAUAAACCCGAAAACAGGAAAGUAAGCUGGUUUUAACUUUUAAUCUGGAACGAAUUUGACUUUGGCUUCUUCAUGAAACUUGUAGCUAUAGAUCUUAAAUACAACGUGUCAAAAUUUCAGAAUUUUCUGAGUCCAUUUGAGGGUUCAAUUGAAGUUGUUUUCGAAACUGUGCAUGGGUCAUGUUAAAAACCCUUUUCAGUGAUAUAUACGGAUCUGUACGUAUUCUGUAAAGCCUUUUUUGAUGUGGUGUCCUUCACGAAAUAUGCUUUCUUAGAUCUUAUCUACAUUUUGGUAAAUUUUCAGAAUUUAUUUCCAUCGUUUACUAAUUUUCUAGAAUUUUUCAUGAAUAGCACGCAUUCUGUUUAAGCUGGAAAUUGUUUUAUUUACUGUUUAUCAGAUUUAUUAUGCAAAUCAUGAUGUCCUGGAUUAUUAUUCGUGCAAUGACAUGAUGACAUUCAUACAUUUCAUAUGACAUCAAAGGAUUGAUGGAUUUUCAUAAAUUCAAUGAAGUUUUCAAAACCAUUGCAUCAAAUGAUACCUUUCCCAAGGCAUAUUAUAUGAUUUUUUUUUAAAAAAAGGGCUGCCGCCAAAUCAUUGACAUUGUUGCAUCAAAUGUGAAAUUGAAAAUGAGAUGUAUGGGAAUAUGCAUUGUGGUGAUGAGAAGACCAUCGGAGGUGUGAGCCGACGAUGCCCCGGGAGUGUCGGGAUGCCCGGAAAGUGGGGGUGCCGGAUGCCCGGUGGCCCAGUGGCGUAAUUCCGGAGGGUCCUCGGGAGUUUCGAGAUGCCUGGUGGUAUUCGCUACGUAAUUCCAGAGGAGGGGGGAUCCUGGUGGUAUGUCGGUACGAAAUUCCGGAAGCCCCGGAGGUUUGUGCCCGGGGGGAUGCCUCGUGAUGCUAGUUGGGAUGCGAGAUGCCCGGAAUGUGGGGGGCCGGAUGCCCGGUUGUAUUUUGAAUACAUGCCCGAAGGUUUCUCGCGAUGCCUGGUUGGAUGCGAGCAAUAAAUUGUGGGAUGCAAACAUUGGUCCCUGGAAAGAAAAAUUAAUGAGAUCCUUGUGAAAGAUAAGAAUUGAAAAUGAAUCACGUGCAUGGGUGUAUGCAUAUAGCAUGAUGCAUGAUUUGCUUAUGAAAAUAAAUUGAUGCUAUUUGGCAUUGAGAAAGCGAUCAUGAAGGCUUGAAAGGAUCUCAUGGUGAUGCAUGCUUGAUAGCAUGGAUGAUACGAAUCAUGGUGAUAUAUGCACGAUGGCAUGGUGAGAUAUGCAUGACUGCAUGGUGGUAUAUGCACAUAUGGCAUGGAUAUGUAUGACAUGAUGGUGAUGAGUACAUGAGGAUGUAUGUACAUAUGGUAUGAUGACAUAUGCAUAGCUGUAAGGUAAGUUAUGCUUGAAUGCAUGGACGAUAUGUGCUUGGUAUGAUGCCUUGAUUGUUCUGUUUGAUUUAUUGAAUAGUUUGGUGGAUCUUUACUGCUGAGUGGUUGUACUCACCCCUUUUGGGGAAUAACAUUUCAGACUAGAUAAGAUACCUCUGCUGCCACUGUCACUAGUAGAUGGAUCAAGUGAUUGGAUAUGACCGCGAGGAGGAGGAUAGCAAAGGAACGAACUUUUGGACGCCGACACUGAUCGAUGGACUUUAAGUAUACG